RNAcentral lists this long non-coding RNA (237 nucleotides) under Carica papaya (papaya). RNAcentral describes it as "long non-coding RNA (CPAP_LNC015771)". Lineage: Eukaryota; Viridiplantae; Streptophyta; Magnoliopsida; Brassicales; Caricaceae. The record is from RNAcentral.
CUAAUGAGGAGUCAUUUACAAAUUAAUAAAAUCAUUUGAUACUUAUUACUUGAUGGCAAAUUUUUUUAAUUUUCAAGUACUUUAACCUGGCUAUUUUCUCUAACUAGGCAAACCCAAGAAGGAAAUUUGUAUUCAAGAGAUUUCGGUAGUCCGAGACUUUCCAGAUGUGUUUUCGGACGAACUACCCGAACUACCAGUGGACAGGGAAGUUGAGUUCACUAUAGACCUACAACCAGG